AGCAAGAAGAACAUCGAGUAAGGUUGGAAGGCAGAUUAGGAGCAGCAGGUGAACUCCGAUUUGUUACUGGUUCAGAAGCUAGUAUGCGUUCAGGAUCCAGCCGCAAAGCAGACAUCAGGACGGAUCAAUCGCAAGUAUAUUAGCAGCAAGGAUGACGCUAAAAACAGAGCGUGAUGUAAAUUAACCAGGGUCGAUAAUGUAUGGCAUAGUGAAACGACUAUUCUCCAAGUCUGGUGGCGAUGUACAGGAUGCGUAAUAAUUAGUAUUCCAAAUAGCCGUUAUGACAGGAUAAGUUAAUAUGUGAUCGUCAGGUAGUCGCGGCCAAGGGCAGAUUGCUGAAGGAACCUGGGACAAAGUAGUACAUUAAAGUAUUUGUGGUUGGCAAGGCUGGAGAGCCUAUCAUCUAGUUGCUGUUCAGGAGUAGGUGGUGGAAUCUUACUCAGAGAAGGUGGAAUCAUAACAAGGCGUUGAAUGUAUUCUGGUUGGCAUUUGAUUUUCUGCACUGUUUACCUGCGUGUAUAAACACUACUACGGACCCACCAUGGUGGAGUGUUUACCCAGAACAUCAAGAAGCGCUGAAAAGGAUCACAUUCAAGCUUUAGGCAUUCAAUCUCUUCACAAGCUUCAGUAGCUAAUUUCCUUUAAGCCUAUUUACAUCCGUAAGCUGCUACAUUAGAGA
Non-coding RNA from Drosophila bipectinata, 679 nucleotides. The record is from RefSeq and is a predicted model, not a curated record. NCBI's taxonomy places the organism in Eukaryota, Metazoa, Arthropoda, Insecta, Diptera, Drosophilidae.